UGGGGAAUAUUGCGCAAUGGGCGAAAGCCUGACGCAGCAACGCCGUGUGAGGGAUGAAGGCUUUCGGGUCGUAAACCUCUGUCGGAAGGGAAGAACGGGUGAGGGUCUAAUAGGCCUUCAUUUUGACGGUACCUUUAGAGGAAGCACCGGCUAACUCCGUGCCAGCAGCCGCUGGAAUACGGAGGGUGCAAGCGUUAUUCGGAAUUACUGGGCGUAAAGCGCACGUAGGCCGCUUUGUAAGUCAGGGGUGAAAUCCCACGGCUCAACCGUGGAACUGCCCUUGAAACUGCAGAGCUUGAAGCCUGGAGAGGGUGGUGGAAUUCCUGGUGUAGGAGUGAAAUCCGUAGAGAUCAGGAGGAACACCGGUGGCGAAGGCGGCCACCUGGACAGGCAUUGACGCUGAGGUGCGAAAGUGUGGGGAGCAAACA
This 428-nucleotide ribosomal RNA is filed under the name uncultured prokaryote. Its description in RNAcentral is "bacterial SSU rRNA". It matches the Rfam family "Bacterial small subunit ribosomal RNA", at positions 355 to 774 of the family's 1533-position model. The record is from RNAcentral.